Rhinopithecus roxellana (golden snub-nosed monkey) is the source of this 500-nucleotide long non-coding RNA. RefSeq lists it as uncharacterized. The transcript has 3 exons. The record is from RefSeq and is a predicted model, not a curated record. NCBI's taxonomy places the organism in Eukaryota, Metazoa, Chordata, Mammalia, Primates, Cercopithecidae.
AGACCUGCCUCUACAGCCUAGGAAGCCUGGUUAGGACCAAGGCCAGGGAAAGCCACUUGCUCCCAGCGCUGGCAUCUCCUGAGUCCAGAUCUUGGAGGACAGAUCCUAGAAGGGACCUAGCAUUACUCAUCUGAGGUGGACAAUCCGCAUGAAGCAGGACUUCUGAAUCCUGUUCGACAGCUAUUCCCUAAGAGCGUCCUGUGAGGCAGGAGCAAUGCUGAGAUAAACACGGCCCCCAGCAGCCAGGGGUGAGGACCCGGCGGGAAGCAGGUCUGUGGCUCAACUCUUGUCCCCGGCACACUGCAGGAAGGGCUGCAGCGAGGAAAACACCAGGGAUUAGGAUUACAUGGAUCCUUUGACAUGCAUGAUCCAAACUCAAACUGAUGGUCUUGGAGGCCCACACAGCGAGCAAUGCAGGCACUGGGUUAAGACUGGAGAAGCUGCCUUGAAGGGAAAAAUGUGUGCAAAGAAAUGAUGGCCCCUGAGGACAGACUCUGGAC